CAAUUUUCAAGCAACCAAGUUGAAGAGCCUACCUUGCGAUGUAAGGUUUGCCAAAACUAGUUCAACGAACGAUUCGUUAUGAUUCAACCUUCCCAGCUGGUGGUUUUGAUGUUGUUUUGCAUAAUUUAAUCAUCGAGGUUUGGCUUUCCGGUGGCUUCUUCAAGAACACCAUCGCGACAGUUCCUCCAAAGCAUCCUCGCUGAACGGGUCGAGUUAUUUUCAUUUUCAAAAUGGUUUCUCGCGCUGGCUUUCGCGUUUUAGGUUAUGUGUACGCCAUUAUCGGUACUGUGCUGUCGUUUUUUAGUGCAUUUUCGAGUGGAAUUUUGAUUGCUUCUAAGGAUGAAAACCAUCAAUUUUACAUUGUGCUGGCAUGCAGUUUACUAAAUAUAGUAUUUUAUACUAUUUUACUGAUUGGAAUAAGUCAAAAAAGUAGACUCUUAGUGAUAGCCCACCAAAUAUACCUGAUCGUUUCAAGUGCUCUCAUCUUCAUGGUUUGGCUGCUUGGAAUCGUCGGAGUGUUGUUUGUCGAUGAAUCUUCAGAUAAAAGUACUAUGGUUAUUAUAUCGCUUAUAGUCUGUGGUAUUGCUUCAGCUCUUUACCUUUGCUGCAUCUGGAUUGUAAGUGGAGUGCUCAGGUACAUCGACCAUGAACGUGAAUCAACAAGUGCAGUUCGUUCACUUCGAAAAACAAUAAAAGUUUAGUGUUUCCAACUUGAACUAUUAAUUUUUGUUGUUAAAACCAUCCGAACUUCAAAAAAUCAUGCAAGCAAACAAAACGAUGACACUUUCGUAAUAAACACAGCUGUUAAUUCAUUCAUCUUCGCACAAUCCUGCUGCUCAACAUCUGGUUCACUCUAGUCGUUUAGUCUGGCUUGAAGUAUCAACUCGAAAGGCAGCGUAGUGUAUCGUCCUCAUUCGGUAUGGUUUCGGCGAGCACAGCUCGCAAAUUAGGCUGGAUCUACGCAGUUAUCAGUCUUACGCUAGCCGCUUUGGAAUGUGCACUUUGCGUGUUCAGAAUUGUUCACGAAAUAAACUCCUUUACGUGCUUUGCGGUGGUUGUGGCGAUUGUUUGGGUUAUUUUUAGUAUCGUUUUGAUCGUUGGAAUCAAGCAGAAAAAUGCUUGGCACGUGAAAGCCUAUCGAGUUUUUCUUUUUGCUGGAAAUGCUCUAACGUUGCUGCUUCUAAUUGGUACCGAUGGUGAUGGACAGAUUACGAAUUGGAGUCAACAAAUUUGGGUGUCCCUCGUCGUUGGAAGUUUGGGAGUGAUUGCCUUAUUUGCACUGGAGCUUUGGAUCAUCAACGGAGUGAUUCGUUACAUUGAGAGAGAAAAAGAAAUUCAUGUGUGAGGAAUAAAUCAAUGAAUAAUGCUAUACAUUUUCGCAAA
This is a long non-coding RNA of Culex quinquefasciatus (southern house mosquito), 1383 nucleotides long. RefSeq lists it as uncharacterized. Lineage: Eukaryota; Metazoa; Arthropoda; Insecta; Diptera; Culicidae. The transcript has 7 exons. The record is from RefSeq and is a predicted model, not a curated record.